CUUUUUUCAACCGAUUUCUAGAAACGACGAAUUUUCCGCCGGAUUUUACGAUGUCAUCAAAUAAUUUGCAGUGCAUUUAACCCCAAUUUUGACAAAUUUGAUGGAUAAAUCGUUCAAAAUGUUACCGACGUGAAUAAAUUGUGAAAAAAUUACAAUUAACAUAUCUUGUGCAAAUCUCGCUUGUGGAAGCAGCACAUCCAACUUUUCGCUCCGCUCUAUAAUUUGAAAUCGUUCAUAAAGCUGUUCAAAGCCUCAUUCAACAUGCAGUGCCACAUAUACUUACUUGUGCGUUUACUUUUAGAAAAUAUUCCGGCGACGUAAACAGUUUUUCGUGUUGCCAUCGUCUCAUGAACUGAAAGGAAGUUUUUUUCGUAUGCAGAAUUGAAUCUCCGACAAUUUCCGAGAGUUGAUAAGCGGCAUUUUUUAAUCAACUUGAAAUCAAACGCAGCUUGUAAUUUCUUCGCGGUUUUUUUUUGUUUACUUGAUUGUGCGGGAGUGGUGCAAAGUGUUUUGAUUUACAUCUUGAAAUUUCAACGAAGCCCUCUUUCGUGCCCGACCGCAACAUUCAUCGAAAAGGCAUCGGUGUCACCUUAUCCCCGCAGCUUCUUAUCUGCCGAUUGGAAAGAAACGGAUGCGUUAACGGCGAUUGGUUCCCUGGAAAAGCGUCUGGGCCGUAACGUAAUCUUCGGUUAACGACCGUUUCCUUAUCGGUUCCCGGUAUACCGGCGCCGGAAACCGCGCUAUUCUCGGUUUGGCAAAUUUUCCGGUUUCCUCGCAUUUUUCCCCCGGGCGGUGUUGUCGUAGGAAUUGUGACGCGGCGGAGAAUUUCCACGUGUGUUGUUUUUCCGGGUGUGACGUUGUGUGUGUGAACAGGCGAGUGCGUUUACACUCGCGUUGGAUUGCAGAUCAUGGAUUAACAGAUUGCCGAGAUGCUGAAAAUUCAGAUGUUGGAACAUUUCGUCCAGGACGAAGGAAAUGGGUAAGUCUCAAGUUCAAUUUCAUUCGAGUCAAUGCUGUUUAUGUGCAGGUGGUAAGUGACCUA
RNAcentral lists this long non-coding RNA (1042 nucleotides) under Bemisia tabaci. RNAcentral's name for it is "lncRNA ENSSSA3NGG005757". Lineage: Eukaryota; Metazoa; Arthropoda; Insecta; Hemiptera; Aleyrodidae. The record is from RNAcentral.